GUUAAUAUUCCCGUACUUCUUACAAUUGCGAUGGGGGGGACGGAGAAGGCUAGGUGGGCCUGGCGACGGUUGUCCAGGUUCAAGUGCGUAGGCUUAAGAGUUAGGUAAAUCCGGCUCUUUUUAAGGCUGAGACACGACGUCGAGCUACUACGGUAGUGAAGUCAUUGAUGCCAUGCUUCCAGGAAAAGCCUCUAAGCUUCAGAUUGUAAGGAAUCGUACCCCAAACCGACACAGGUGGUCGGGUAGAGAAUACCAAGGCGCUUGAGAGAACUCGGGUGAAGGAACUAGGCAAAAUGGUACCGUAACUUCGGGAGAAGGUACGCUCUUGAUGGUGAAGUCCCUCGCGGAUGGAGCUGACGAGAGUCGCAGAUACCAGGUGGCUGCAACUGUUUAUUAAAAACACAGCACUGUGCAAAAUCGUAAGAUGACGUAUACGGUGUGACGCCUGCCCGGUGCCGGAAGGUUAAUUG
RNAcentral lists this ribosomal RNA (470 nucleotides) under Vibrio parahaemolyticus. Its description in RNAcentral is "partial 23S ribosomal RNA". It matches the Rfam family "Bacterial large subunit ribosomal RNA", at positions 1429 to 1883 of the family's 2925-position model. The record is from RNAcentral. Lineage: Bacteria; Pseudomonadati; Pseudomonadota; Gammaproteobacteria; Vibrionales; Vibrionaceae.